Long non-coding RNA from Zophobas morio, 1029 nucleotides. RefSeq lists it as uncharacterized. Lineage: Eukaryota; Metazoa; Arthropoda; Insecta; Coleoptera; Tenebrionidae. The transcript is spliced from 4 exons. The record is from RefSeq and is a predicted model, not a curated record.
AAACUUUAACAUUGCAAGUGAUAAUUAGAAAACUGUCUCGAUCAAUCUAGUUGCUUUGUAGUCACUGGAGUACCAAUGGCUUCACUAAAUUCAACUUCCCAAGAAAACAUUUUAGACUGCGAAAAUGGUGUUUCCACUACACCCACACACACAUACGACAAAUGGAUUACAGUAGUUGCAGUAGCCUUAUUAAUAGGAAUUUUUGUCGGACUACUCUGCUACUACUGGACAAAUUCAUCCACGGAUCAAGAUGACAACGUCGGAAAAGAACUAAUAAUAUACUUUCUACACAGAUUCAUCAAAGCACUAGUUUAAUUAAUAAGGCAUAUUUGUUUUGUUGUUUUAUUAUAUUAAAAUUUCUUGUUUUCUGGUUUUUUAAAAAAUAAAUCCUUUCAGUAAUGUAGAAAAAACACCAUGCGUCAUGGGGCUUUACAAAAAUUUGUGCUGAUAGUGUGGACACCAUUCUCCACAGACGAGCAGAAAACCGUAGUUAGUCGAACAGAAAAGACGUGUAUGGUGUUCGAAGCCACUUACGUUUUAAAACUGUUUCAGAGUCUGGCAACUCUCGUCCACCCCAGUGCACAUGCGAAAACUCCAUGAAAAUAUUUGUAAUAAUCGCAAUUGUUGCAUUAGUAGCUAUUAAUUGUUAUUAUUUUAUUAUCACGGAACUGUAAUAAAGAAUAAAUUUUACAAUACAUUAUAACAAUAUUUAAUACAUACUUAGGUUAAAUGUACGCAUCCAAUCGACUUUUAAGCAUGUACGCUGUCGGAGCCAUUGUUAUAGUGUGUUCUGGAACUAUUCUUGUGAUGAUGUUAAUAAGAAAUAAAGAAGUUAAAGGCAAUGGAUAAAACCAAGCCUGACAAAAACGUCAGUAGCUGACGACACUCUUAUAACUGGAGGAUCAUCAUUGAGAAGGACAAAUGGGGUGGACGAGCGUCUUUGAAUUGGUCUACACCUCUCAUUCUUGAACAUCCAACAAAUUUUGUUAUUACAAUGCAUACUGUUACUCCACAGUGUCACACUUUUCA